GGAUUAGAUACCCUGGUAGUCCACGCCGUAAACGAUGAGUGCUAGCCGUUUGAAGGUUACCUUCAAGUGGUGCAGUUAACGCGUUAAGCACUCCGCCUGGGGAGUACGAUCGCAAGAUUAAAACUCAAAGGAAUUGACGGGGGCCCGCACAAGCGGUGGAGCAUGUGGUUUAAUUCGACGCAACGCGAAGAACCUUACCAGGUCUUGACAUCCUGACUAUAGUUAUUAGAAAUAAUUUCUUUCAGUUCGGCUGGGUCAGUGACAGGUGCUGCAUGGCUGUCGUCAGCUCGUGCCG
Molecule: ribosomal RNA, 295 nt
Filed under: uncultured bacterium
Lineage: Bacteria
Description: partial 16S ribosomal RNA
Rfam family: Bacterial small subunit ribosomal RNA
Source: RNAcentral